GAAGUAUGAUGGUCAUGAAAGAGCUGCUAACUCUUUCUCUAGCGGUUAAAUUCCGUUAAUAUUUCU
RNAcentral lists this transfer RNA (66 nucleotides) under Cinygmina sp. 07BF85. RNAcentral describes it as "tRNA-Ser". Lineage: Eukaryota; Metazoa; Arthropoda; Insecta; Ephemeroptera; Heptageniidae. The record is from RNAcentral.